RNAcentral lists this long non-coding RNA (7686 nucleotides) under Gossypium barbadense (sea-island cotton). RNAcentral describes it as "long non-coding RNA (GBAR_LNC020154)". The record is from RNAcentral. Lineage: Eukaryota; Viridiplantae; Streptophyta; Magnoliopsida; Malvales; Malvaceae.
CCCUAUUAAACAGUGUCAAAUAGAGUUAAGGGUAUAGUUGGCAUACCAUAGGAUUAGUAUUGAUUUCACUGUGUUACUCUUCUAUUCCAGAGGGUGAGAGAGUUCUCUUAUUCCCUUAGGGUUGAGAACAAUACUCUAAUUCUGUGAGGGUUGAGUAUAUUCAAUUCCCAAAGGAUCGUGAGCAUAUAUUGAUAUAAUGAUCCGUGUACCUGUCCUUGAAUCCAAAAUCAAUUAAUAGGGGCAAAAGAAUGUAAACAAUAUGAGAACAUAAUUUGAAGCUUAUGUGAUUGUGUAAGUAAUUGAUAUAUGGACAAAUGAUGAUAACUAAACUUGCUUAUCAAUACAUGAAAAUGAUAUGUGAAUUCCCUAAGGGAGCAUCUAAAAGAAAUGAGAUACUAUAUGCACAAUGUAAAAAUUAUUUGGAAAUUGUAAGUUGUAACACACUGAGGGUGGCAUGGAACAACUAUUUGAUAAAAUAUGUUUAUUGUAGGUGUUGUAAAAUAUAUUUGAUAUGAUGUACACUUACCAUAUGAAAAUGUUAUGUUUUAAUUAGCAUGGCAGUUUGACCUGUAGGACUCGAGCCCUACUUUGUGAACCCAUUUGAUUUUGAAUUAGUGUAAAUUUCAAUUGUGUAAUAUGAAUUUCAUAAUUAUUCUUUGAAUGCAUGUAAAUUCCAUCUUGUACUUAGAUCUAGUGACAGGAUCGAGUGUAGGGUGUUACACAUACCUUUCUUCUCAUUUUUAUCUCUUUUUUUAAAAGUUUUAUGCUUGUUGAUGGUGGCUAUUGUUUAUUUUUUGGGAUAGGAUUUUGAAUUUUGAUAUGUGUUUGGUAACUUAAAGAGAAGGUUGUGGUGAGGUUUGAUAUUUGGGUUAGGGUCACUGAAAGUCCAAUUGGGGUUGAAAACAAGGUAUGAGGACUAAUGUAGUUCGGGUUAGUGAGGUAUUUAGGAUAUUAAGGAGUUGGUCUAAGAGUGACGGUGAAGGUGGUGAAGGACCGAAAGUGGGGAAUGGUCUAAGGGCUUGGUUUAACGAGUUUAGGUUGUGGAUUUAGGUGUUGGUUUGGUUAGGCGGCGAGGGAUUUGAUUAGGAGAAUGAGAUUAGGGUUUGUUUAUAUUGAAGGAAUAUUGAAGUUGAAAAUGGCUCUGAUAGGGUGUAGAAGUAAGAGGUUGAAGAUGGUGAAGGGAUGGUGGUGGUUGAAAGUGAUUUGUUGAUGUUAACACAAAUUUUAGGUUUAUUAGUAUUUAUGUGUGUUUCUAGGUUUAUUCAAGUAUUGAAGUUUGUUGGCAAUUCUUUUUUUGAAUAAAAGAAAAUUAAAGAAGAAAAUAAUUAGCUUUUAUGUAAUUUUAAAUAUUUUAUUUUUUGAAUUUUUUAAAUAAUAUUUUGAAUUUUUUAAAAUUUGUUUUAAAAUUUUAAAAAGUUGCUGAUGUCAUAUAUUAACAAAGUUAACAAGUAAUAAACUUUUUCAUCUAUUUUAGGGUAAUUUGACAAAGUUCACUAAAAGUUAAAAAAGAUAAAAAAAAUUUUAAUAGAGAGUAAAAUAACUUUUUAUUUUAUAAAAAUAACUUUUUUAAAAAAUCUUCCUCUUCAAUGAAACCCAUAUUCAUUAAAAAAGAGAAGUUUUAAUUUAAUUAAAUCCGUGAUAUGAAUUAUGAAUAGUUGAUAGAAGGGAAUUUAUUUUGAAUCUGAAAUAUUUGGGUAGGAAAUUACUUUAUGCUUUCACUUGAAUAACAUAAAUGUCGGAAAGAAAAAUAUGCUGCCACCUUAAGAAUAAUUUUGGCUUCCAACUAACUUUAUCCAAAUAUAAAAUAUCCUCCUAUACUCUACAAAUUGCUAUCUUUUUUCAUUUCGUUCGAAAUAUUCAUUUCAACUUCCAUAAAUUCUUUGUAAAGACAUGCACAUAAUUUAUAAGAUCUUCAAAAGUCAUGAUUUACUUUCAUAAAUAAAUAUAAAAUUAAAUCUCUAUAUUAUACUCUCAUUAUAAUGAAUAAAACUUUUAACCUAGAGGUUGACUCAGUCGCACCUACAAUUUUUUUGUUUAAUUCAUUAAAAGUGGAAAAUCUAGUUUACUAAUACUUAACUAAUUCUUUUGAUUCUUUAAAAUUUCAGUUUAACUUAUAUGAUUCAACUUCAGAACAAUCAAUUGAACCGACCCGUAUUGGAAAAAUAUUUGUAAUAUAUAAUUGUUUUCCUAAGAAGCAAGAUGCCAAGUAUGAAGAAGAAGCCAUGGCCUGCUGUCCUAUAAAUAGAUGUAAUCUUCAACAUUAAAUAGCAUCAAGCUAACAACCACCAUAACCCACUAUUUAUCCAAAAACAAUGGCAUUCCAUUAUCCAGAACUCAAUAAGAAUGAUCGCCUUCCUUAAGAUUUUACGCAAGACUUUUGCAUGCUAGACGAAUUAUCCGAGAGAGCGAUAUGUUAUCACUAGCACUGGCUGCUCAAAUCUAUGGUGGAACCCUUUUAAAUGAUUUACACAAGCAAAAAACCUAAGCAAAAGCCAGGCACCUGUUUAGAUGAUCAUAUGUUCUACUUGCUAUACAUUGUAUGGGAAGCACCUAUUAUAUCAUAUCUUUUAGAUCAUAUGUGUAUUUAGGAGUUUGCUUCUUCUAUUAAUAAAUAAACAAGUAAAGUUCAAGAGUAUUGGGUUUUUUCUCUAAUAUGCAGGGAAAUUUAUUUAAACUUUCGAGGUUGAGUAAAAAAUUCAAGGAAAAUACCAACGUCAAAUUCAUUAACUCUUAAAGUUUGUUUAUUUAUUAAAUGAAUUUUAAAUAAAAUAACAAUUUUAUCCAUUAUUAAUCAAUUAAUUUUUUUACCUUUAAUCUUUAUAUUUAAUAAUAAAAGUUUAAUUAAUUAUAAAAAUAUUUUAAUUAUUAUAUUAUAUAUGUUAAACCUAAUGUAUUGAUGAAUUAAAAUGUGUAAUUUUUUUUAAAGUUAUAUAUAGUCACAAUUACAAUUAUAAAAAAGACAUCUGAAUAUUUAUAAUCAAAGGUAAUCAUCAUAAAGCACAAUCAAAUCAAUAAUUAGAAAUAUAUCAUCAUGAGCUUAUUAAGAGAUAGUGAACCCCUAAAUGGGUUAGUAUGAUUCUCAUUAAGGGUUUUGUCUCUUAACUAUAAUAAGAUUUCGUUUGAAAAGGCGACAAAUUCAUAGGGUGUGUACAUUUUGUCAAGUGCCUGAUAAGGUUAACCAUGCAGAUGCUUGUGAUCACCCACUAAAAAAAUCUCAACAUUCAAUCUUAGUGGAAUUUGAACUUGUGCCUUAUAACAUAUAUGAUAUUUAUGGUUAACAAUACCAUCACUUGAGCUAGAAAUGAUAAUAAUAUUUUUUUUUCAUCUCCUUUAUUUUUUAUUUCUUGUUUAAUAUUUUUUUAUGGAAAGACAUAUUAAAUUUUUUAUUAUUUAAUUAUAAUAAAGACUUUGAAAUGGAUUUUUUUAUAUUUUAAUUAUUUUUCAUUAAAGCCUUCUUAAUAAUGAAAUUACAUAAUAUAAUUUAAUUAAUUAAUUAAUUAAUAUUGAACUAAAUUAAAUAUAUUUAAAAUAUUUAAUUCUUAUUGAAGUCAAAUGUAUACUACUAUCUAUAAAAAGAGAGUCCAAUGAUUUUUGAUCCUGACACGUGGCUCUCUCUUUUCCAACAAUUCUUUUGAAUUUAGGAUAUUUCUGUGCUUUACAUUUUUUUAGUGAAAAUAAAAAUUACAACUAACUUAGACUAAAACAAAAGGACUUUUUACAAACAACUGUAAUCCUUCUUCUCUGCCAAACGCCAUUUUGGCCAUUUGAUCUGCUUCUUUAUUGCCAUCUCUAGGAAUAUGAUCUAAUCUCCAGCUCCUUACUGUGUCCAAGAGUUUUCUAAUACACCUGACUAAAGCCAAACAAGAAGACCUUGAGUUGAAAUCUUGAAGAUCUUCAAAGACCUCCAAACUGUCCAUUUGUAUCUAAACUCUUUCACACUGUUUUCCUUGUAGUAAUGAUAAACAAUCUAAGAUACCCCAUAGCUCAGCAUAAAAAAUAGAGCAUUUCACCAAACAUUUAUUGAAACAAAGAAGCCACUCCCCUCGAUCAUCUCUCAAGACUCCCCCUGUAACAGCAUAUCCAGAAUCUAUCUUAACCGCACCGCCAGUUUGUAACCUCACCCAAUUAUCACCCCAUUCAAACUCACCUUUCCUAACUUGCCUUAUAGCGGAAUUGCCUUUAUGAACGGGUUUAUAAUGCUUAGCCCAACUAAAAUAAUUUUUAAUAAUUUUUUGUAAGCUCCAUGACACUCUUUGAAAACUAAGAAGGUUGCAAUUCUUUCAUAUUCGCCAAAUAGCAAUCCCAUAGAAAGCUGUCCAAUCUAUCUCCCCAAAAAUGUGCUUCUGACUGUUUUGCAGAUUAGAUACAAGCCACUCUUGUAGAUUCAUAGAAAAGAAAUCAGUGUGUCUCUUGACUGGGAUUAUCUGAGUCCAAACAUCUUUAGCCGCACGUCAGUCUUUAAUAGAACGAAUGACAUCCUCUGUUCCUAGUCCACUAAUUGGACAAUGAUCAUCUUGCGCAAUACCUCUCAUUCGCCUCUUCGCUUGUGUCAGCAAUCAUUGCUUGAGAACCAACCAAAUAAAGAACUGUACCCUCUGAGGCCCCUGAUGUUUCCAUGCCAAUUUCCACACUUCAUCUUUUGAACACCAUGAAUCCUCCUUAAGCAUCUUGUAGGCACUCUUGAUAUAGAAAGAUCCUGAUGUAGUACCCACCCUAGUUACUAAGUCCAAACUAGCAGAAGGCUGCAGGGGAGGAAUACUGAUAAUUCGCUCAAUGAUCUCCUUAGGUAGCCAAAUCUAAAAAAGAUCAAGGUUCCACGAUCCUUGCUCUAUGACCAUUUCCUUAAGAAAGUAGUCAAUGUAAAUAUUGAUUUGAGCUGGAAUGAGAUUGAUUAGAGGUCCAAUGUUAGGAAUCUAACUGUCCUUCCAACAUCUUAUAUUAGAGCCAUUUCCUAUUGACUAGAGUAAGUUCUUACGAAGAAAAGGCCAUAUCCUAGAUAGUGCUCUCCAUAGAAAAGAGCAGUUACCUUGGUGAAUAUUAUUAGGAAUGCCUUUGUCCAGCCUGUAUUUUGAGCAAAGUACAUGUACCCAUAACAUAUUAGUUUUAGACAAGAUAUUGUACCCCAGAUUUAACAUGAAUGAAGUACUUUGUUCCUUCAACUAUCUUAGUCCUAGCUCGUCGCAAGCCUUAGGUUGACAAAAUAACUGCCAAUUGAUGAGGGUUAUCUGCCUAUUUCUUCCCCCAAAUAAAUUAUCUAGUUAUUUGUUCAAUCUCCUUACAAAUUCUUUGAGGGCUCUUUAUGGACUGCAAUAAAUAACUAGGAACUGUGAAAAGAACUAACUGUGCUAGAAUGAAUUUGCCAGCUAGAGAAACUUGUCUCGCAUCCCACCACUGAAGUCUAGCUUUGACUUUCUCCACCACAAACCUUAAGGAGCUAUUGGUGAUCCUUUCAUUGAGAAACGGAGCACCCAGAUAUGUACCUAGGUUAUGAACCUUGCGAAAACCAAGAAUCCUACAUAAUCGCGCCCCAAAGUCUUCAUCGAACCCUUUUGAAAAGAAUACAAUGGGUAUUUAUCCAAUGUCCAGAGAAAGCACAUAAUUUAUCAAGAGUAGAUCUAAUAAGAUUAGCCUGUUCCAAAUCAGCUUUGUAAAAAAUCUCCAGAUCAUCUACAAAAAACAAAUGUAAAAGAGGAAGUCCAAUUUUGGACAAGGAAAUAGGGACCCAAUGACCAGAGUUAAUGGAAGAAUGAAUGACGUGUCCCAAUCAUUCCAUGCAUAAAAAAUAGGUAUUGGAGACAAAAUACAUCAUUGUCUUACACCCCUAACUGGGCUAAACGUGUGGGUUGGAAUCCCAUUCCAUAAAAUUUGCAUAAUCACAUUCGUGAUUGUUAACAUGAUAACAUUUGAAUCAAUUCCAGGAUAUCGGCUACUUGGAGGGAAGCUUCAAUAAACUCCCAUCUCACUCCAUCAUAUGUUUUCUCUAAGUUGAUUUUGUUGCCAUCAGUUUCUUUUUUUUGCUUUUACUCUUCAUGGAAUGGAUCACUUUUUGUGCCAAAAUGAUGUUAUCUAUGAUACUCCUUCCGGAAAUGACACCUAUUUGUUUUAGGCCAAUAAUCCUAAGAAAGACCACCUUGAAGCAAUUAGCAAUGACCUUCAUAAUCAGCUUAUGAAGAAACAAACACAAUCUAAUCGGGCGAAAUUGUGAAAAGCUCUCGGGAUUGAAGACCUUAGGGAUAAGAAAUUUGUCACUAAAAAAAGAGGGCAUGAAAUUUGUCACUGCCUGGUGCUUUCAGCGGAGCCAUAUUAAAAAGUGCAUCCUUGAUCUCUUCCUUUGUCACCUAUUUACUUAAGAAGGGCACGUCAUUGUAGUCCAAAGUAGGAAAUGAGCUAGGAGGUAAAUCCAUCAUUUAAGUCAAAAAAAUUGAUUGCCUCUGAUUGAAGCUCCCCUUCAUCAAAGAUCCAAUUAACUUUCUCAUUUUUUAACACAGAAAUCCGAUUGUGUUUUCUCCUUAGAAUGGGGCGAGAUUAGAAGAACUUGGUAUUUUAAUCCCCAAAGUUCAACCAAUCACAAUGUGCUUUUUGUUUCCAUGACAACUCCUCGUGAUGAAGAAUGCAUUCCAGUUCCUCCCUAACUUGCAACUCUAAUUGACGAGAAAUGAUAGAGUCCAAAUUAUCCAAAUCCAUUUGAACAUUAGACAGUUUCUAUAUUAAAUGCCUUUUACAGGAACCAAUAUGACCGUAGAUAGACUUAUUCCAAUCUCUAAUGUUCGAGGCCAAGUGUUUGAGUGUCUCAACCAUAUUAGCAUUGAACCUUCAAUUCUCACUAAUAAAAUUAGAAAAUUUCGGAUGCUCCACCCAACUUGCUAGAAAUUUGAAUGGACGCCUACUGGAUGAACUCGCCACUAGAUUGAGAGCGAAUAGUAGUGGUCUAUGAUCUGACUUAAGCCUGGGGAGAUGAAAAAUAAAACAACUAAGAAAAUAUCUAAUCUAGGAAUCAUUCGUAGUUGUUUGAUCAAGUCUCUCAAAAGUUUCAGCCCGAUACCAAGUGAAAGUAGGACCUCAAAAACCCAAAUCUUAUAGCUUGGCCUUAUGAAGAAAAUCCUAAAAUAAAGUAUAACCAAUACCAAUUUAACUACUUCUUCUUUUGUCAUUAGACGAAAGUAACACGUUAAAGUCCCUGAUGGUUAUCCAAGAAGUAUCCCUAAGGGGUAAUAUCGAGUAAAGAUCUCUCCAAAGCAUCCUCAUUUUCUGUCUAUCAGGACUUCCACAAACAAAAACAAUGUGGAUAGGGGGUAAAUGAUUCUCCUUAAGAACUCGGGCACAAAUGAAUUGGGGAUGGCUGCAAAUUACCUCAACUGUGACCAAGUCUUUCUAACCAACCCAAAUACCUCUAGAAAACCUAAUAGCCUCCACCCUAUGAGAAGACUUAAAACCCAAAUUGGCUAUGAUUUUAUUUGCUUUGCCUCUACUAACCCUUGUCUCCAGUAAACUAACAAUGUCAGGCUUAUAUUCUUUAUUAUACAUGCGAAAAUUCAGGUGAAACUUGAUGUUGGCACAUCCUUGAAAAUUCUAAGAAAAAAUAGACAAGUCCAUAAAAUAAAAAAGAUAAAGAAAAGAAGACCAACCUUACUGCCUAUUAGGCCUGGACUCCUCCACCUGCUUGCUAUUAGAAAGUGAUGAAUCAUU